This is a long non-coding RNA of Diorhabda sublineata, 1887 nucleotides long. RefSeq lists it as uncharacterized. The record is from RefSeq and is a predicted model, not a curated record. The transcript has 2 exons. Lineage: Eukaryota; Metazoa; Arthropoda; Insecta; Coleoptera; Chrysomelidae.
AGGUUAACACAAAACGAAGAGUUAUUAAAAAUAGCUGUCAAAAUUUUGUUAUUGUGAACGUCAGAAGAAUGUUUAGUUUUUCAAAUCAUAUUAAAUACUUUAAAAUAAUAGCGUAAGAAUAUGAAAAAAUUUAACAAUAUAACUGUCUCAAAACAGUAAUACUUAUGUGUAUAUAAUUCUAAGCUAUGGAUCGACUCGCAGGAACAACUACACCCUUUAGUGCUUGUAAACAUUACUACACGGCGUUAAUGCAUUACCUUAACAAGCAAAUACUUGAAAAAAUUGUACAGAGGAGUGCUUUUCAAAAACUAAGAAGGAAAUUAAUAUUGAAUACUAUAUGAAACUUCAUUGAAUAGUUGAACAUGCAUAUUGAGUGUAUUUAGUAAAUCCCAUCUAAUGAGUUUACAACUGUCAUCCAUUUCCAUCAAAAUGUUUUGACUACUGGAAUUUCAAAUAAAAGUUCACUGAUGUGAGGAAUUUUCCCAUAUUGGAAUUCAGGAUAAUGAAGAAGUGAUAUGUGUGUGAAAUAAUCAGUGACUUGAUUCAAAAUCGAAACUAAGUGAAGUAAAAGCCUUUAAUAGAAUACUAAAGAUGUUGUACAACCAAGUGCUGCUCAUAAAACUAAAGGCAGUUUACACUGAAUUGAUUCAUCAAUAUAUACUUGUCAAGACUGAAAUAUCUGAGUUCAUAAUUAGUUCGAAGCAAAUAUCAGUCACUGAUAUGAAGCUUUUCAUGAAUUUUAAACAAACUAAAUGAGAAUAAAAUAUUAUUUAAUUUCGUAACAGUAGGAGGACGAAUUGAGGUCAAGGAUUAAUAUACAAUGAGAAUGGGGAUUUUUGGAUAGUUCAAAUUGAUUUGAUAAAACAGAAUAUAUUUUUAUAUUGAAAUUCAAUUUUUAUAGUUGAUAAUUAAUUUCAAAAUUGUUUAUUGUAACUAUUUUAUCGAAAAAAAAAUCAAAUUAUAUUGAAUUUUUUAGAAGAUAUAAUUCAAAGAAAGAAUAACAUUAAGACAAAUAAUCUAGCUAAAUAAAACAGAGACAUAAAUUUAAAUUUUUUAUUUGUGCACACAGAUAUUAACAUAAAUUAAUAAAAUAAAUUAUGAUGAUUCUACUUUGAAUUGUACCUUUAUUUUAUCCAUGUUAUAACACACAAAAUUACAUUGCAAACGAUAAUCUAAAAUUAAAUUGCAUAUUAGUUAUUUUGAAAAUGUUUAAAACUAUAAUAAGAAAUAUUUUGAUGAAAAUGGGAGUUGAAAUUCCAUGAAAAUCGAUCUGAAACAAACAGAAAUAAAGGCAGUACAUUAAGUUAAGAAAUGAUGCUUCUACUUUCGUUAAAAACCUUAUUUUUAUUAAUAAAAGAAAAUUAUAAUUUAGGUCUGAAACAUAUGUCUAUUAAUUAUAUGUAUACACAGAUAAAAAAGAUGAUAAUUAUUGUCAAAUCAUAUUUUCUCUUAAUUUGUAUCUCAAGUAGUGAAAAAUUGACUAUUUCUUCAACACAAUUACGUAGAUACUUGAUAAGACAAUGAAGCAGCUUGAGUAGACAAAAGCUUACUUACAAGAUCUUCUUCGCAAUGUUUUGUUUGCAAAAGGAUCUGUAGGAUUUCGUUCUUUUUACAUUUAUUUUUAAAGUAUAUUAAACUCAACCCCGAAUUUGAUUUUAAUUUAAGAGUAACUGUUUUUCGACAAGAGAGGAAAGUAUCAGUUAAGUUGAUGUUAAAAAUUAUGUAUUCAAAUCCAGAAAGAAAAUAAUGCAAUUAUAAUUAUUACUUACGAUUUUUUGUACCUAAUUCUCUAGGAGAAAAGUGUGUUUGAUAUGUUUGAAAUAUGAAAGAAAAUGUAUGAACUUUGUUUAUUUACAAUAAAUAAAUAAAUAAACUUUGACAGCUCCA